UGUUUGCACUUAGCGGGAAGGGUAAGAACCUUCGACUAAGGUUCGACUCGAGCGCCAGCGAGAGAACGUUGCCGCAGGCAACGGCCCGAAGGGCGAGGCGCUUUAGCGCCGAGUUAUCCUUCCCCCACCACCA
RNAcentral lists this small RNA (133 nucleotides) under Klebsiella pneumoniae. Its description in RNAcentral is "RtT sRNA". It matches the Rfam family "RtT RNA". From Rfam's summary of the family: This family represents a bacterial cis-regulatory element known as RtT RNA. The exact function of RtT is unknown although it is thought that it may be involved in changing the cellular response in relation to amino acid starvation. The record is from RNAcentral. Lineage: Bacteria; Pseudomonadati; Pseudomonadota; Gammaproteobacteria; Enterobacterales; Enterobacteriaceae.